AGAAUAGCUCAGUUGGUAGAGCACUUGACUUGUAAUCAGGCGGUCGCCGGUUCGAUUCCGGCUUCU
This 66-nucleotide transfer RNA is filed under the name human gut metagenome. It matches the Rfam family "tRNA". Rfam says of the family: Transfer RNA (tRNA) molecules are approximately 80 nucleotides in length. Their secondary structure includes four short double-helical elements and three loops (D, anti-codon, and T loops). The record is from RNAcentral.